Long non-coding RNA from Harmonia axyridis, 967 nucleotides. RefSeq lists it as uncharacterized. NCBI's taxonomy places the organism in Eukaryota, Metazoa, Arthropoda, Insecta, Coleoptera, Coccinellidae. The transcript has 3 exons. The record is from RefSeq and is a predicted model, not a curated record.
UUAAAACCAUAGAUAUUGAGCUUAAUCUGAUAAUUGACAAGAUAAAUGUAUAGGUUAUAGGUUGAAGUUUCAAGAAAAAUAUUUGUGAUGUAACAUCACCAUGUUAUGACAACUAUAGGCAACAUUGGAAUAGGAUUAUUAAUACUCAUUUUGGUUUGGAUAUUUGCUUUAGGAAUAUUUGUAAUUGCAGUUAAACUACAAAGUAAUAUUGCCUGGAUAGCUUUAUGUACAGCCGCUGUUAUUACAAUAAUUCUUGCUUCCUUCCCAGUGGAAAAACAUAAUAAAGAAUUAUACGAUAUAGAGACUGAGGAUAGAGACUUCACAUUAAUUUAUAAAAAUUUAGUACUUGUAUUUUUAUUGUUAAGUGCAGUACUUGGUUCUGUGGCUUUUUUUUUGUUUCAUUGUAUUGAACCAGUUCAUGCAAAAGCAAUACAUAGUUUUUACCAGAAAAAUAAGGAACUAUGAAUUUCAUAACAAGAAGUGCUUGCAAUUGCAUCAGAAAAAAUGUUGAAAAAAUUAUCUCAUCAAGGAAUAUCACAUCCUCUGCACAAUUAAAAAAAUUAAUUUCACUCAAAUCAGAUGAUGAGUUCUUGUCAAGAGUUUUGAAUUCAAAUAAGCCAGUUAUUGUCAAUUUUCAUGCAGACUGGUGUGAACCUUGCCACAUUUUAACCCCUAAACUUGAAGAGUUGAUUGCACAUAAUAUGGAUAUUGAUUUAGCAACAUUAGAGAUUGAUGACCAUCCAGCUUUAGCCCAAACUUUUGAAGUCAAAGCAGUACCUGCAGUCAUUGCUGUGAGAAAUGGACUUGUUGUGGAUAAAUUCAUUGGAUUAGUUGAUGCAAAUUCAAUUGAGGAAUUGAUUGAAAAGUUGAGUAAGAAGGAGUAGCAAAUCGAGUUUAUGCUCAAAAUUAUGUAUAUUUUUAUAUUAAGUUGUCACAGUUAAUGAGAAAAUAUAAAAGUUGAAGGUAA